Molecule: long non-coding RNA, 3545 nt
Organism: Callithrix jacchus (white-tufted-ear marmoset)
Lineage: Eukaryota; Metazoa; Chordata; Mammalia; Primates; Cebidae
Source: Ensembl
CGAUCAUAGGGCUGUGUUUAUUAAUUUUUACAACCUUCCUGAGCAAUUGGCAUAAUAAUCUUUAUUUUCCAGGAAAAGAAAUGCAGGUUUGAAGAGCUUGAGAGACAUACCCAAGGUAGAGAAGAUGAAUCACAGAAAGGCUAAUAUUUGGCUCAAGGUCAUACAAAAUGCUAAUACAGCAUCUGGGUUCAUUGGAAACACCGGAGAAUGCAGAAAAUUCCAGGACUCCCGAAACUGGCUUGAUCAAACCCGGCCUGGCACUUAUCUACUGGGGUCAUCACGGAGGAUACAAACCCAGAGCCCAUAAUUUCAACUGCUUGUCAAUCUCUCAUCCAAAGGGCUGGAUUUUAUCUCUAAAUCCUUUUAUUACCUUUUCCAACACAAAUGCAUAACUAUAAUUAGAAUGAGUUGAUCUAGCUGGACCUUUCUUAGUACUUUCCUCUUGAUUCCCUGUCUCCUAAUUGUUUUUACAUUUUUUAUUGUUGUUUUACAUUGCACAAACACCGUAGUCUCCCUGUCAAAAUUGAAACAUUAAGAAUAUUUAGGGAGUAAAGCAUAAAAGUCUUCCUUCUUCAUCUUGUUGUACUAUCUAUACAUCUAUAGCUGUAUCUCAGAUAUUAUUUUGUAACCCAUUAUUUAAUAUCUAACUGUUCCAUACUGAUGUUAUUUGAGUUGCUCAAACUAAUUCGUAAGUAGAAGUGGUAAGGCAAUGAAAUACAAGGACAAGAAGAAUCAAGAAAAAGUAACUCCCUGAACAAUUCUCUCUGUGACAACUGUGGGAGUAUUUUGAUAACUGUUGGCAACAGGACACUGCAUGUGACGUGGGGAGGGAAAUCUUGGCAUUCAAACAAGCAAAUGGUUUGGCGACAGUUUAUUAAAUUUCUGCCAUGCUUGCAAAUGCCAGUAGCAAUUUCUCAGACUGCAGAAUUGCUACACAUGACAGGUUUGAAAAUGUUUCACAAUCGUCAUCAAAUAAUUCAUCCUUCAAAAUUAAAAAUUAUAUGAACUCUGAAUAAUCAUCACUUCUAAAACAAAUGUUCUGCUGGAGUUUAUGUAUUUCAUUUGUGCAUUUUGAAUGCUUCUCUGCUAUAGAAUGAGGAAAGCAAAGCAUCCAGAUAAAAUGAUAUGUAAUUCAGUCUUACCAGGAGAUUUCUAUCAGACUAUUAAAUCUUCUUCGGGCAAAAAUAGUCCUCGUUACUAAAUCUUCUUCAGGCAAAAAUAGUCCUGGCUUCUUCUUUUAUUUAUAGCUAUAAAUGCCUACCUUUUAAAAGACUUUAACAUUACACUUGAAGGAGCUAAAAUAAGAAGAGAAAACUAAACCCAAAGCUAGUAGAAAAAAGCAAAUUAUAUAGAUUCAAGCAAAAACCAAUGAAAUAGAUACUAGAGAAACAAUACAGAAAAUCCAAACAAAAAGUUGAUUUUUUGAGAUGUUAAACAAAAUUGGCAACUCUUCAGCUACUGACAAAGAAAAGAGAAUAUAUAAAUUAUUAAAAAUCAGUAAUGAAAGUGGUCGCAUCACUACCAAUCUUACAGAAAUAAAAUGGAUUAUAAGGAAAAUGAUGAACAACUGUAUGCUAACAACUUAGAAAACUUGGAGGAAAUGGCCAAAUUCCUAGAAAGAUACAACUACCAAAAGUGGAGUGGAAGAAAUAGAAAGUCUGAAUAGGCCUACACGAAAUAAAGUACUCAAAUUAGUCAUUUUAAAAUUUUCCACCAGAAAAAGACCAGGUCCAGAUGGCUUUACUGAAAAGAUCUGCAAAACAUUCAAAGGAGAAUUAAUACCAGUUCCUUACAAACUCUUUCAAAAGGUAGAAGAAGGGGGAACACUUUCUAACUCACUUUAUGAGGCCAGAACUAGAAUUACCCUGAUGCCAAAACCAAAGGAAUCACAAGGGAACGGAACAAAGUAAAACUACAGACCCACAGCCCUUAGGAAUAUAGAAGCAAAACUCCUCAACAGAAUAUUAGCAAACUUAACCCAGCAACAUAUACAAACAUUUUAACAUAUCAAUGUAAUCAACGUGUAAUAUGCCAUGUAAUAGAAUAAAGAAUAAAAACUACAUGAUCAUCUAAAUGAAUACAAAAAAGAUGUUUUACAACAUCCAACACCCUUUCAUGAUUUAAAAAAAAUGCUCAAUAAAUUAGGCAUAGAAGGGAAAUUGCUCAACCUCAUAAACAUUCAACAAACUAGGAAGAAGCAUGAAAAGCAGUGACAUGCCCAACAUCAUUAACCUCAAGGAAAUGCACAUAAAAGCACAAUGAGAUACUACUUUAUACCUGCUAGGAUGGCUAUAACAAAAGAGGCAGAUAUUAACAAGUAUUAGUGAGGAGGUAGAUAUAUUGGAACCCUCACACACUGCCUGUGGGAAUGUUAAGUAGUAGAGCUUCUUUAGAAAACAGGCUGGCAUUUCUUCAAAAUGUUGAACAUGGAGUUAUCAUAUAACCUAGCAAUUCAAUUUCUACAUAAAUACCAAGAGAGUCCAGGUACAGUGGUUCAUAUAUAUAGUUCCAGCACUUUGGGAGGCUGACGCGAGAGUAUCACUUGAGCCCAGAAGUUUGAGACCAGCCUCGGCAACAUAGUGAGACUCUGUCUCUUAAAAAAGAAAAACAGACCAGGCACGGUGGCUCAUGCCUGUAAUCCCAGCACUUUGGGAGGCCGAGGCAGGUGGAUCACGAGGUCAAGAGAUCAAGACCAUCCUGGCCAACAUGGUGAAACCCCGUCUCUACUAAAAAUACAACAACAAAAAAAUAGCUGGGCACGGUGAUGCGUGCCUGUAAUCCCAGUACUCAGGAGGCUGAGGCAGGAGAAUUGCCUGAACCCAGGAGGUGGAGGUUGCGGUGAGCCGAGAUUGCGCCAUUGCACUCCAGCCUGGGUAACAAGAGCAAAACUCCAUCUCAAAAAAAAAAAGAAAGAAAGAAAAAAAGAAGAAGAAAAACAAAACCAAGAGAAAUGAAAAUGUAUGUCUAUAUUAAAAAUAGUACAUACAUAUUCACAGCAGUAUUAUUCAUAGUAGACAAAAAGUGGAAAUAAACCAACUGCCCAUCAACUGAUGGAUGGGAAACAGAAUAUGGUAUAUCCAUACAACGUAAUAGUAUUCACAAAUAAAAAGAAAUGAAGUACUGAUAUAUGCUAUGACAUGGAUGAAUCUGGAAAAUAUUAUGUUAAAUGCAAGAAAUCCAUCACAAAAAAAAACAUGUAUCGUAAUAUUUCACUUCCAUUAAAUGUACAGAAUAGGGAAAGCUACAGAGACAGAAAGUAGAUAUGUAGCUGAUUAAGACUGGAGAAGUGGGCUGGGAAACAGGGAUUGACUGCUAAUGGGUACUAGGUUUCUUCUAGGAGGGACCAAAAUGUUCUAAAACUACAUGCAGUGAUGGUUGCACAUCCCUGUAAAUAUAUUAAACAAUAUUAUAUUUACACUUUAAAUGGGCGAAUUGUAUGGUAUGUGAAUUACAUCUCAAUAAAGCUGUUAAGAAAAUUUCUGACCUGUUUGGCUGAACUUCAGAGAGGAUGCCUAAUUGCUAGUCUGUUAGUCAUGACGCUUGCC